Molecule: non-coding RNA, 29 nt
Filed under: Mus musculus (house mouse)
Lineage: Eukaryota; Metazoa; Chordata; Mammalia; Rodentia; Muridae
Source: RNAcentral
UAGGAUGGUAUAGUGAACAAGGUCAAGGU